This 497-nucleotide ribosomal RNA is filed under the name uncultured bacterium. Its description in RNAcentral is "partial 16S ribosomal RNA". It matches the Rfam family "Bacterial small subunit ribosomal RNA", at positions 28 to 507 of the family's 1533-position model. The record is from RNAcentral.
GAUGAACGCUGGCGGCGUGCCUAAUACAUGCAAGUCGAGCGAACAGACGAGGAGCUUGCUCCUCUGACGUUAGCGGCGGACGGGUGAGUAACACGUGGAUAACCUACCUAUAAGACUGGGAUAACUUCGGGAAACCGGAGCUAAUACCGGAUAAUAUAUUGAACCGCAUGGUUCAAUAGUGAAAGACGGUUUUGCUGUCACUUAUAGAUGGAUCCGCGCCGCAUUAGCUAGUUGGUAAGGUAACGGCUUACCAAGGCAACGAUGCGUAGCCGACCUGAGAGGGUGAUCGGCCACACUGGAACUGAGACACGGUCCAGACUCCUACGGGAGGCAGCCGUAGGGAAUCUUCCGCAAUGGGCGAAAGCCUGACGGAGCAACGCCGCGUGAGUUAUGAAGGUCUUCGGAUCGUAAAACUCUGUUAUUAGGGAAGAACAAAUGUGUAAGUAACUAUGCACGUCUUGACGGUACCUAAUCAGAAAGCCACGGCUAACUACGUG